Molecule: long non-coding RNA, 360 nt
Organism: Saccostrea cuccullata (small rock oyster)
Lineage: Eukaryota; Metazoa; Mollusca; Bivalvia; Ostreida; Ostreidae
Exons: 3
Source: RefSeq, a predicted model, not a curated record
UAAUGCUUCUGUUAUAUAAGUAAAUAAGUCUCUAAGAGGUGACACAAACAACACUGAAGAUGAAAAUGAAUUAUUGUUUUAUCUUAUUUACAUUGUUGGUUUCCCUACAUUUGGGAAAUGCUUCACAAAACGCACCUGUCCACGUAAUAAGAAUCCUCCAAGACUGUGGAUGUCCUCAUAAUUGUUUGAGUUAUUUGAGGGUUUGUCUUAUAGCCGGAGCAUGCCGACGAUGUAAAACACCCAACUAUGGAAAAAGAAGUUAUCCUACUAAACAACGACAUAAAUUUACCACAAGACCAUCGAAAGAAGUUUUAAUACAAUCAACACCUCUUAAUAAUUAAUAUAUUUAAUUCAACUUGU